Pelobates cultripes (western spadefoot toad) is the source of this 211-nucleotide non-coding RNA. The record is from the annotation of a GenBank genome assembly. Lineage: Eukaryota; Metazoa; Chordata; Amphibia; Anura; Pelobatidae.
GUUAGCAUUUAUAUAGCGCCAACUUAUUCUGUAGCGCUGUAUAAUUAAAUAGUAUAAGGGAAUAUUAAAACGUAAACAAGGCCUUGCUCAAACGAGCUUACAAUCUACGAGAAUUUGAGGUAGAUGGAUAUAUAUAUCAAAAUGGCAGAAAUGCAUAAAAUAUUUGACUUUUUUCCAACUGAGAUACUAAGUACUAUAUUUUUAAAGUCAA